CCUACGGGCGGCAGCAGGGAGGAAUAUUGGUCAAUGGACGAGAGUCUGAACCAGCCAAGUAGCGUGAAGGAUGACUGCCCUAUGGGUUGUAAACUUCUUUUAUAUGGGAAUAAAACGUUCCACGUGUGGGAUUUUGUAUGUACCAUAUGAAUAAGGAUCGGCUAACUCCGUGCCAGCAGCCGCGGUAAUACGGAGGAUCCGAGCGUUAUCCGGAUUUAUUGGGUUUAAAGGGAGCGUAGGUGGAUUGUUAAGUCAGUUGUGAAAGUUUGCGGCUCAACCGUAAAAUUGCAGUUGAAACUGGCAGUCUUGAGUACAGUAGAGGUGGGCGGAAUUCGUGGUGUAGCGGUGAAAUGCUUAGAUAUCACGAAGAACUCCGAUUGCGAAGGCAGUUCACUGGACUGCAACUGACACUGAGGCUCGAAAGUGUGGGUAUCAAACAGGAUUAGAUACCCCUGUAGUC
RNAcentral lists this ribosomal RNA (460 nucleotides) under uncultured bacterium. Its description in RNAcentral is "partial 16S ribosomal RNA". It matches the Rfam family "Bacterial small subunit ribosomal RNA", at positions 338 to 795 of the family's 1533-position model. The record is from RNAcentral.